GCUAGGAUCUUCUUUCUCUUCCUCCCUUUGGCCCCAGGCACCCCCUCGGGAUGAACCUCCACAACGGGACCCUCGGCCGGGGGGCUCUGUUAAAGGGUUCGGGGGACUUCAAGUUUGGCGUCAGAGGGGACUUCGACGGCGACGGGCAUCGGAGCAGGUGCGACCGAGCUUGUCCCCUCUAUCCUGGCUUUCUUCACCGACCCCGAAGUUGAGGUGUCCU
Molecule: long non-coding RNA, 220 nt
Filed under: Elaeis guineensis (African oil palm)
Lineage: Eukaryota; Viridiplantae; Streptophyta; Magnoliopsida; Arecales; Arecaceae
Description: long non-coding RNA (EGUI_LNC071236)
Source: RNAcentral